Molecule: ribosomal RNA, 1220 nt
Filed under: Strawberry phylloid fruit phytoplasma
Lineage: Bacteria; Bacillati; Mycoplasmatota; Mollicutes; Acholeplasmatales; Acholeplasmataceae
Description: bacterial SSU rRNA
Rfam family: Bacterial small subunit ribosomal RNA
Source: RNAcentral
UAAAGGCAUCUUUACUUUUUUAAAAGACCUUCUUUGAAGGUAUGCUUAAGGAGGGGCUUGCGACACAUUAGUUAGUUGGUAGGGUAAAGGCCUACCAAGACUAUGAUGUGUAGCUGGACUGAGAGGUUGAACAGCCACAUUGGGACUGAGACACGGCCCAAACUCCUACGGGAGGCAGCAGUAGGGAAUUUUCGGCAAUGGAGGAAACUCUGACCGAGCAACGCCGCGUGAACGAUGAAGUACCUCGGUAUGUAAAGUUCUUUUAUUAAGGAAGAAAAAAGAGUGGAAAAACUCCCUUGACGGUACUUAAUGAAUAAGCCCCGGCUAAUUAUGUGCCAGCAGCCGCAGUAAUACAUAAGGGGCGAGCGUUAUCCGGAAUUAUUGGGCGUAAAGGGUGCGUAGGCGGUUUAAUAAGUCUAUAGUUUAAUUUCAGUGCUUAACGCUGUUGUGCUAUAGAAACUGUUUUACUAGAGUGAGUUAGAGGCAAGCGGAAUUCCAUGUGUAGCGGUAAAAUGCGUAAAUAUAUGGAGGAACACCAGAGGCGUAAGCGGCUUGCUGGGACUUUACUGACGCUGAGGCACGAAAGCGUGGGGAGCAAACAGGAUUAGAUACCCAGGUAGUCCACGCCCGUAAACGAUGAGUACUAAGUGUCGGGUAAAACCGGUACUGAAGUUAACACAUUAAGUACUCCGCCUGAGUAGUACGUACGCAAGUAUGAAACUUAAAGGAAUUGACGGGACUCCGCACAAGCGGUGGAUCAUGUUGUUUAAUUCGAAGAUACACGAAAAACCUUACCAGGUCUUGACAUUUUCUUGCGAAGUUAUAGAAAUAUAAUGGAGGUUAUCAGGAAAACAGGUGGUGCAUGGUUGUCGUCAGCUCGUGUCGUGAGAUGUUAGGUUAAGUCCUAAAACGAGCGCAACCCUUGUCGUUAAUUGCCAGCAUGUAAUGAUGGGGACUUUAACGAGACUGCCAAUGAAAAAUUGGAGGAAGGUGGGGAUUACGUCAAAUCAUCAUGCCCCUUAUGAUCUGGGCUACAAACGUGAUACAAUGGUUGAUACAAAGAGUAGCUGAAACGCAAGUUCUUAGCCAAUCUCACAAAAUCAAUCUCAGUUCGGAUUGAAGUCUGCAACUCGACUUCAUGAAGUUGGAAUCGCUAGUAAUCGCGAAUCAGCAUGUCGCGGUGAAUACGUUCUCGGGGUUUGUACACACCGCCCGUCAAA